GUCAGACUACGACCAACUUUGUGUCUUCGAUGCUAAUAUACCAUGCUGGGAGAGGGAAUACAAAUUACCAAACCUUAAUGAAAUAUUUAUACAUAACAGUUACAGUGCAUUAGCAAUGAAAUUCGCUAUGGCCACAUUGUUCUCUUAUACAUGUCCCAUAGUUACUUUGUUAAUUUUUUUGAUGAGUAUAUGGGAUAUAAGGUAUAAAGCACGAAGAGUUCUUCUAUGGCAUCGAAGGCCGUUAUUGAUAAAUGCAUCAGGGCCCGGCAUUUGGCACCGUUUGAUUUUUAUGGCAGCUCAUGUUAUUCCUCUAUUGAACGCAUCUCUUAUAGUGUUACAAUCAAGAUAUUUCCUUAAACAACAUGCAUUGCAAUUUUAUCUCGAGUUCACGAAUAAUAAACA
Molecule: long non-coding RNA, 402 nt
Organism: Vanessa tameamea
Lineage: Eukaryota; Metazoa; Arthropoda; Insecta; Lepidoptera; Nymphalidae
Exons: 4
Source: RefSeq, a predicted model, not a curated record